Molecule: long non-coding RNA, 481 nt
Filed under: Homo sapiens (human)
Lineage: Eukaryota; Metazoa; Chordata; Mammalia; Primates; Hominidae
Description: HSALNT0048672
Source: RNAcentral
CCAGCCUGGGCAACGACAGCGAAACUCCGUCUCAAAAACAAACUUCUACCAAGAACUUGUAUUAGUUUUAUGGCUAAGGUUUGCUUUUAAACAUUUUCUUGAUCAUUGUUUUACAGGAACAUCUCUUUAAUGGAAAUUUUUAAACUUAUUUUUGCCUCCCCCAAAUCCAUAACCCCAAUUUGAAGUAGAAAGUUGCAAACUAUGGGGAUGAAUUUGCGGAAGGGUAUGUCUUUUCUUUUUCUAUGAACAACUCAGAAUCACAUCUCAAAAGGUGUAGGCACUUUCAAGAACGCUUCAUCCGCCCGCUUUAAGCACGCGCACCGACGAAAGAGUUUGGGGAGCGAGCGCCUCGGGCUUCCCCGGAGGGGAAUUUUCACCCCCGCCAGAGGAAGAGGGCCCAGCUGCGCCAUUAGCGCGUGCGAGGGAAAAUGGAGGCUCCUGGUCCCACCCGCGCACCGGCGCCUGCGCCCUGGGCGCCCAC